CAGCAGCCGCGGUAAUACGGAGGGGGCUAGCGUUGUUCGGAAUUACUGGGCGUAAAGCGCACGUAGGCGGCUUGGUAAGUUAGAGGUGAAAGCCCGGAGCUCAACUCCGGAAUUGCCUUUAAGACUGCCGAGCUAGUAGGUGAGAGAGGUAAGUGGAAUUCCGAGUGUAGAGGUGAAAUUCGUAGAUAUUCGGAAGAACACCAGUGGCGAAGGCGGCUUACUGGCUCAUUCUAGACGCUGAGGUGCGAAAGCGUGGGGAGCAAACAGGAUUAGAUACCCCGGUAGUCCCUGUCUCUUAUAC
This 301-nucleotide ribosomal RNA is filed under the name uncultured bacterium. RNAcentral describes it as "partial 16S ribosomal RNA". It matches the Rfam family "Bacterial small subunit ribosomal RNA", at positions 509 to 807 of the family's 1533-position model. The record is from RNAcentral.